This 76-nucleotide transfer RNA is filed under the name Rubrivivax sp. A210. RNAcentral describes it as "tRNA-Thr". It matches the Rfam family "tRNA". Rfam says of the family: Transfer RNA (tRNA) molecules are approximately 80 nucleotides in length. Their secondary structure includes four short double-helical elements and three loops (D, anti-codon, and T loops). The record is from RNAcentral. Lineage: Bacteria; Pseudomonadati; Pseudomonadota; Betaproteobacteria; Burkholderiales; Sphaerotilaceae.
GCCGGUGUAGCUCAGUUGGUAGAGCAGCGCAUUCGUAAUGCGAAGGUCGCCAGUUCGAUUCCGGCCACCGGCACCA